GAAAGCAGGACAUGACCAAGGAAGGGCAGGGCUCAGAGCAGCUUCCUGCACCAAUAUGUAUCCCAGGUCCUGGGGAAAAGAUCUUACAGGAUUUUCAGAUCCUGGUGCAGAAGGUGGGGGGGAGGCCUGAGGUUCUUCUUAUUGGGGAGACCCUGGAAGGCAAGGACAUUCAUAAGAUGAUGACCUCUUUUGUUAAGGACUUGUUUUCUGCCCCUUGUCACCCAGUCCACCCUGCCGAAGCUUUGAAGGAGCCUUGUGUCACCUGCCCUUUUGGUGGCAAGCAAUGCCAGCUUAUCUUCUUUCUGUGCCGUGCCUCCUGCAUGAAGGGCAAGGAGACUGAGUUGAGGAAAGUUUUGCAGCAGGUGAAGAAGUAUGUCCAGAAAUCCCCCUGUGCCUUAGUAGGAAUCAUUAUGGAACCCAAGAAAGGGGAGGCUGAGGAAGCCCGGGUCCACCUGCUUCGACUGUUGCGCGGCAUCUUCCCAAAGACCUCACCACAGAAACGGGGCAAACAGCCAGCUACCAAACAAGAUCAGGACCAGGCAGGGUUGUUGGAAUUGGAAGAAGUGGAGGUGGAAGCAGAGGUCUACAUCCCAGGUUAUCCCCGGGGUAACUUGGCCAUCAUGAAGGCAGCCUGUCGUGCUUCGGAAGCCCUGAGCAGAGGUUUUCCGGAGGAGGUCACUAAGGAUCCCCUACCCGUUGCAGGUUCUUCCUGGACUGUCAUCGUCAUCAGAGGUAUUUUGGGGACUUUGUGCAUCAUUGGCAUGGCAUCUGCUGCAGGAUGGUACCUCUACCAGCAAGGCAUGAUACCACCUGACAUGAUCCCUGCAGGUCUGCUUGCUUUCAUUUGAGAAAAAAAGCACUGAAUAGAGCUGUGAAUCAUCAGCAUCCUGAUGUCCUCCUAUCCCCAAGCUUCUAAUGAUUUCCUCCAGUGCUUUUAUGUUAAUAUAACAAUAUUAACACAAUGUUGGAUACCACAGGUAACAAGAUCUUGAAUUCAUCUGGAGUUUAGCUGUC
Molecule: RNA transcript, 1014 nt
Organism: Crotalus tigris (Tiger rattlesnake)
Lineage: Eukaryota; Metazoa; Chordata; Lepidosauria; Squamata; Viperidae
Exons: 4
Source: RefSeq, a predicted model, not a curated record